RNAcentral lists this ribosomal RNA (513 nucleotides) under Coralliophila bulbiformis. Its description in RNAcentral is "partial 12S ribosomal RNA". The record is from RNAcentral. Lineage: Eukaryota; Metazoa; Mollusca; Gastropoda; Neogastropoda; Muricidae.
AACCAGUAGGCUGAGUCAUUUAUAACGGUAAGAAAGUAAAGGAAAUUUGUUUGCUCUCAAAUUAAUAUUAUAAGGUAAAAUUUGAAUAACUUUAAGUCCUUAGAAGCUUAUUCCGAAGCUGUGAAAUCCUUGAGGGAAACUGGGAUUAGAUACCCCAUUAUUCUUGGAUAUAAAGACUUUACCAGGGCACUACGAACUACGUUUAAAACCCAAAGAGCUUGGCGGUAUUUUAGACCCCCCAGGGGAACCUGUCUCGUAAUCGAUGAUCCGCGCUAUACCUGACCUUACCUACAUGCUUGUAUACCGUCGUCUUCAGGUAACUUCCGAAAAGAAAAAAUUUACCAGAUAACUUGUUAAAUGUUCUACGUCAGAUCAAGGUGCAGCUUAUGGUAAGGGGAGGAUGGGUUACAAUUACUAAUUAUAAAUACGAAUAAUAAGUUGAAACACUUCUUUAAAGGUGGACUUGGAAGUAAAAACAAUAAGAUAAGUGUUUUGAAUAAGGCUCUGAAAUGU